This 559-nucleotide long non-coding RNA is filed under the name Equus asinus (donkey). RNAcentral's name for it is "lncRNA (ENSEASG00005029309.1)". The record is from RNAcentral. Lineage: Eukaryota; Metazoa; Chordata; Mammalia; Perissodactyla; Equidae.
CUCCCCAGAAACAGGUCCAUAAGCGCAUGUAAAACACUAAGCUCUGGGAGGGCAGGGGGAGUCUCAGCACUCACUUGGAAGGUGAGCACAGACUUGGCCUAGAUGGGUUCACUGGAUCUUCUGGAGGUGGAAAACACUUAUUUUAGCAGGUGGUAACGAUAUCUCCACUUCAAGAUAAGAAACCUCCAGUUCGCACAGCGGGAAAGCUUUGGGGUAGGAGCUGACCCCAGGAGGCGAGAGCUGCAUGAUGGAGGUUGCUGUGCGUGCAGUCUAGUGACUACAGGGCAAGAGCUGCUCACACCUGCUGCGCUGCCUCCAACUCUCGGGUCAAAGGCUUCGAUUCUCUCCUUCCCCAUCUAACGGAGGCGGGGGGCGGGGCGGGGGAGAGUGUUAAAAACAACGAGGUUUUGAGGUUUUUAAAUUUUUGCCUUUUGUUUUAGUUCUCUGGCUCAAGAGUAAACAGUUGGUAAGUUAUGGGCAGGAAUCUAAAAAGUAUUUGACAGGAUUCUCACUUUCAAAAGAUGCUAUUCAGAGACUUAUUCUUUUACUUAUAACAGAU